This 148-nucleotide small RNA is filed under the name Arabidopsis thaliana (thale cress). RNAcentral describes it as "ATSL233110". The record is from RNAcentral. Lineage: Eukaryota; Viridiplantae; Streptophyta; Magnoliopsida; Brassicales; Brassicaceae.
UUGGUAUGUACGUUUCUCUUUUUUCUUUUUCUUUUUCUGUUAGUGUUUAUAUGCAUGUGGCUUACGUUGGGCAAGAAACGGGACAAAAAAUGUGAUGUUCACAUCUAUUCCGUGCAUUAGUAUCUGUCUUAUUAAGUUUUGUUGUUAU